RNAcentral lists this ribosomal RNA (253 nucleotides) under uncultured bacterium. Its description in RNAcentral is "partial 16S ribosomal RNA". It matches the Rfam family "Bacterial small subunit ribosomal RNA", at positions 524 to 776 of the family's 1533-position model. The record is from RNAcentral.
UGCGUAGGGUCCGAGCGUUGUCCGGAAUUAUUGGGCGUAAAGGGCUCGUAGGCGGUUUGUUGCGUCGGGAGUGAAAACCAGGUGCUUAACACCUGGCCUGCUUUCGAUACGGGUAGACUAGAGGCAUUCAGGGGAGAACGGAAUUCCUGGUGUAGCGGUGAAAUGCGCAGAUAUCAGGAGGAACACCGGUGGCGAAGGCGGAUCUCUGGGCCAUUACUGACGCUGAGGAGCGAAAGCGUGGGGAGCGAACAGG